UACGGAGGGUGCAAGCGUUGUCCGGAUUUAUUGGGUUUAAAGGGUGCGUAGGCGGCUAAUUAAGUCAGCGGUGAAAUUCCACAGCUCAACUGUGGAACUGCCAUUGAUACUGGUUGGCUUGAGUACAGAUGAGGUAGGCGGAAUUGACAGUGUAGCGGUGAAAUGCUUAGAUACUGUCAAGAACACCUAUUGCGAAGGCAGCUUACUAAGCUGUAACUGACGCUGAGGCACGAAAGCGUGGGGAUCAAACAGG
Molecule: ribosomal RNA, 253 nt
Filed under: uncultured bacterium
Lineage: Bacteria
Description: partial 16S ribosomal RNA
Rfam family: Bacterial small subunit ribosomal RNA
Source: RNAcentral